UGAGGCAAAAGACUCAAGUUAGCUGC
This 26-nucleotide non-coding RNA is filed under the name Homo sapiens (human). Lineage: Eukaryota; Metazoa; Chordata; Mammalia; Primates; Hominidae. The record is from RNAcentral.